This 1163-nucleotide ribosomal RNA is filed under the name Nostoc sp. CMT-1FBIN-NPC2. Its description in RNAcentral is "bacterial SSU rRNA". It matches the Rfam family "Bacterial small subunit ribosomal RNA", at positions 356 to 1532 of the family's 1533-position model. RNAcentral also lists the same sequence under 1 other name. The record is from RNAcentral. Lineage: Bacteria; Bacillati; Cyanobacteriota; Cyanophyceae; Nostocales; Nostocaceae.
GGGGAAUUUUCCGCAAUGGGCGAAAGCCUGACGGAGCAAUACCGCGUGAGGGAGGAAGGCUCUUGGGUCGUAAACCUCUUUUCUCAGGGAAGAACACAAUGACGGUACCUGAGGAAUAAGCAUCGGCUAACUCCGUGCCAGCAGCCGCGGUAAUACGGAGGAUGCAAGCGUUAUCCGGAAUGAUUGGGCGUAAAGCGUCCGCAGGUGGCUGUGUAAGUCUGCUGUUAAAGAGUCUAGCUCAACUAGAUACAAGCAGUGGAAACUACACGGCUAGAGUACGUUCGGGGCAGAGGGAAUUCCUGGUGUAGCGGUGAAAUGCGUAGAGAUCAGGAAGAACACCAGUGGCGAAGGCGCUCUGCUAGGCCGUAACUGACACUGAGGGACGAAAGCUAGGGGAGCGAAUGGGAUUAGAUACCCCAGUAGUCCUAGCCGUAAACGAUGGAUACUAGGCGUGGCUUGUAUCGACCCGAGCCGUGCCGUAGCUAACGCGUUAAGUAUCCCGCCUGGGGAGUACGCCGGCAACGGUGAAACUCAAAGGAAUUGACGGGGGCCCGCACAAGCGGUGGAGUAUGUGGUUUAAUUCGAUGCAACGCGAAGAACCUUACCAAGGCUUGACAUGUCGCGAAUCUUGAUGAAAGUUGAGAGUGCCUUCGGGAGCGCGAACACAGGUGGUGCAUGGCUGUCGUCAGCUCGUGUCGUGAGAUGUUGGGUUAAGUCCCGCAACGAGCGCAACCCUCGUUUUUAGUUGCCAGCAUUAAGUUGGGCACUCUAGAGAGACUGCCGGUGACAAACCGGAGGAAGGUGGGGAUGACGUCAAGUCAGCAUGCCCCUUACGCCUUGGGCUACACACGUACUACAAUGCUCCGGACAGAGGGCAGCAAGCCAGCGAUGGCAAGCAAAUCCCGUAAACCGGAGCUCAGUUCAGAUCGCAGGCUGCAACUCGCCUGCGUGAAGGAGGAAUCGCUAGUAAUUGCAGGUCAGCAUACUGCAGUGAAUUCGUUCCCGGGCCUUGUACACACCGCCCGUCACACCAUGGAAGCUGGUAGUGCCCGAAGUCAUUACUCCAACCUUUCGGGGGGGAGGAUGCCUAAGGCAGGACUGGUGACUGGGGUGAAGUCGUAACAAGGUAGCCGUACCGGAAGGUGUGGCUGGAUCACCUCCUU